Molecule: long non-coding RNA, 1103 nt
Organism: Oncorhynchus tshawytscha (Chinook salmon)
Lineage: Eukaryota; Metazoa; Chordata; Actinopteri; Salmoniformes; Salmonidae
Source: Ensembl
GUCAAACUCAGGGUUUAUUGUAAAACACACGGUAAUGGGGGGAGCAGGAAAAGGGGCUGAGCUGGACCCAAGGAAAGAAACAAUAAGCAUCCAAAACACCCCUAAGCUAGACUAGCCUAUUUUAACAACAACUAACCAAAAAUACAGUGGGUGGUCCGCCCAGUUCUAACUAGUGUUUUUAACAAAGUCUACCUACGGGUAGUGUAUGCCCAUGGGCGACUUGUCUUGGUUUCCCCUUUUCCCACCAGCAAUCAAACACCAUAACCAAAAACAAUACUCACAGGAGAUGACAAAGUGAUUUGGAGGUGCUCAAACAAAAGAGAGAGUAAGACACAGAGAGGUUGAGACACACAGAGAGGUUGAGACACACAGAGAGGUUGAGACACACAGAGAGGUUGAGACACACAGAGAGGUUGAGACACAAAGAGAGGUUGAGACACAAAGAGAGGUUGAGACACAAAGAGAGGUUGAGACACAAAGAGAGGUUGAGACACAAAGAGAGGUUAAGACAAAGAGGUUAAGACAAAGAGGUUAAGACACAAAGAGAGGUUAAGACACAAAGAGAGGUUAAGACACAAAGAGAGGUUAAGACACAAAGAGAGGUUAAGACACAAAGAGAGGUUAAGACACAAAGAGAGGUUAAGACACAAAGAGAGGUUAAGACACAAAGAGAGGUUAAGACACAAAGAGAUCUACAUACAUGGCAUUUACAGAGAGAGAUUGAGCUCUAGAGCAAACAAAUGAUGGGGUUUUUAAACCAAGGGAAAGGAACUGUGAUAGGGUAGGAAACAGGAGGAGGUGUGUCUUCUGAUUGAUGAUUGAUUGUUGACUGAUUGGGGAGUGAUGAUGUUCACCUGUGAGGGGAGAAGGAGAGAAAAGAAACACACACAGGAUACUUGUAUCCGUAACAAUUACCUUUAACAGGGAAUUUAUUCUUCCUUUACACAGUAAUUUGGGGGAAAUGGGCUGGAUGGAACCAAAGCAAAGAAAGUAAAAGUUAAAGAGCCCCCUCUCUUAUUUUACCUAUUCUUAAUGCCACCUGGCGUGCUAACCAAAAUACAGGGGGUGGUCCACCCAGGUCUUACCUAGUGUGCUAAGCACUC